Molecule: long non-coding RNA, 389 nt
Organism: Poecile atricapillus (Black-capped chickadee)
Lineage: Eukaryota; Metazoa; Chordata; Aves; Passeriformes; Paridae
Exons: 3
Source: RefSeq, a predicted model, not a curated record
CUGAGAAGAAAUAGGGAUAAAGGGAAUACCAAGGCUCAGUUUCUUGCAGCAAAGCCUUAUUUCAUAAUUGGAAUUAAUGACUUUUCCUGGAAGAAAAUCAGGCAGCGAGCAAUGAUUAUCUUAGUCCUUGGUUAGGACUCUUGCACAUUCUGAUAAUGAGGAGAAGAUUGGACAACAGUAUCACCACUCGCUGUUCUUUGGAAUUACGACCGUAAGCUCUGGGGACUGGCACGUAUCUGAUACACAGAGGGGAAGGCUGUGCAUAUCAGCAUCAGCCUGCUUCCACCUCAUUAUUCCCUCAGAAUGGGUGUUUCCAUCCAAGUGAUUAUUUGAGAUCUUUUGACUGAAAUGUGGGCACACAGGUCUUUCCUCCCAAGCUUCCAUUAUAA